This 240-nucleotide unclassified non-coding RNA is filed under the name soil metagenome. RNAcentral describes it as "partial contains 5.8S ribosomal RNA, internal transcribed spacer 2, and large subunit ribosomal RNA". The record is from RNAcentral.
AACAUCGCGCACCUGCGGGAACCUGCGGAAGGAUCAUUACAGAGUUGCAAAACUCCCUAAACCAUUGUGAACGUUACCUAAACCGUUGCUUCGGCGGGCGGCGCGCCCUCGCGCGCGCCCCUGGGCCCCACCGCGGGCGCCCGCCGGAGGUCACCAAACUCUUGAUAUUAAUUGGCCUCUCUGAGUCUUCUGUACUGAAUAAGUCAAAACUUUUAACAACGGAUCUCAGAUCGGAAGAGC